UCCCAUGGCUCAGAUUGAACGCUGGCGGCAGGCCUAACACAUGCAAGUCGAGCGGUAGAGAGGUGCUUGCUCCUCUUGAGAGCGGCGGACGGGUGAGUAAUGCCUAGGAAUCUGCCUGGUAGUGGGGGAUAACGCUCGGAAACGGACGCUAAUACCGCAUACGUCCUACGGGAGAAAGCAGGGGACCUUCGGGCCUUGCGCUAUCAGAUGAGCCUAGGUCGGAUUAGCUAGUUGGUGAGGUAAUGGCUCACCAAGGCGACGAUCCGUAACUGGUCUGAGAGGAUGAUCAGUCACACUGGAACUGAGACACGGUCCAGACUCCUACGGGAGGCAGCAGUGGGGAAUAUUGGACAAUGGGCGAAAGCCUGAUCCAGCCAUGCCGCGUGUGUGAAGAAGGUCUUCGGAUUGUAAAGCACUUUAAGUUGGGAGGAAGGGCAGUUACCUAAUACGUAUCUGUU
Molecule: ribosomal RNA, 458 nt
Filed under: Pseudomonas arsenicoxydans
Lineage: Bacteria; Pseudomonadati; Pseudomonadota; Gammaproteobacteria; Pseudomonadales; Pseudomonadaceae
Description: bacterial SSU rRNA
Rfam family: Bacterial small subunit ribosomal RNA
Source: RNAcentral